Molecule: ribosomal RNA, 430 nt
Filed under: Acidobacteriota bacterium
Lineage: Bacteria; Pseudomonadati; Acidobacteriota
Description: Acidobacteria bacterium partial 16S ribosomal RNA
Rfam family: Bacterial small subunit ribosomal RNA
Source: RNAcentral
UGGGGAAUAUUGGACAAUGGGCGGAAGCCUGAUCCAGCCAUGCCGCGUGUGUGAAGAAGGCCUUUUGGUUGUAAAGCACUUUAAGCGAGGAGGAGGCUACUUGGAUUAAUACUCUAGGAUAGUGGACGUUACUCGCAGAAUAAGCACCGGCUAACUCUGUGCCAGCAGCCGCGGUAAUACAGAGGGUGCGAGCGUUAAUCGGAUUUACUGGGCGUAAAGCGUGCGUAGGCGGCUUCUUAAGUCGGAUGUGAAAUCCCUGAGCUUAACUUAGGAAUUGCAUUCGAUACUGGGAAGCUAGAGUAUGGGAGAGGAUGGUAGAAUUCCAGGUGUAGCGGUGAAAUGCGUAGAGAACUAGAGGAAUACCGAUGGCGAAGGCAGCCAUCUGGCCUAAUACUGACGCUGAGGUACGAAAGCAUGGGGAGCAAACAGG